CGGUUCCCCAGGGCAUGUUCACUGACAUCAAGGUGCAGAACUUACUUUAAGUAGCACUACGUAUGAGGGCUGUACAUCUCACAAACAAAACAGAAAGACAAUAACUUUAGUAAAAAGAUGGAUACCAUUCAAGCCCAAGGAAAACCAAUGCUUCUUUUCAUCUAUGGACUCAAGUCUCAGAAAGCAGAGAAGUGAGUGUACCAAGUGCAACAAACGUUUGAGCAUUGUUCUGCUGCCAAUAUUGAAGACAGCCACUGCUUUGAAGUGUGGGGAGGAGGUAAGCAAAGGUAGCAUUUUCCUAAGAGAAAAAAAAAUAGCUUGUCAAAUAUUUCUUCUUUGUCAGCAUGACUGUAAUAGGUUCCUGCAUAAUAAAACAUUAUUUCCCAGUAA
Molecule: long non-coding RNA, 390 nt
Filed under: Homo sapiens (human)
Lineage: Eukaryota; Metazoa; Chordata; Mammalia; Primates; Hominidae
Description: HSALNT0343183
Source: RNAcentral